AACGAACGCUGGCGGCAUGCCUAACACAUGCAAGUCGAACGAGACCUUCGGGUCUAGUGGCGCACGGGUGCGUAACGCGUGGGAACCUGCCCUUAGGUUCGGAAUAACUCCCCGAAAGGGGUGCUAAUACCGGAUAAUGUCUUCGGACCAAAGAUUUAUCGCCUUUGGAUGGGCCCGCGUUGGAUUAGCUAGUUGGUAGGGUAAAAGCCUACCAAGGCGACGAUCCAUAGCUGGUCUGAGAGGAUGAUCAGCCACACUGGGACUGAGACACGGCCCAGACUCCUACGGGAGGCAGCAGUGGGGAAUAUUGGACAAUGGGCGAAAGCCUGAUCCAGCAAUGCCGCAUGAGUGAUGAAGGCCUUAGGGUUGUAAAGCUCUUUUAACCGGGAUGAUAAUGACAGUACCGGGAGAAUAAGCUCCGGCUAACUCCGUG
This 433-nucleotide ribosomal RNA is filed under the name uncultured bacterium. Its description in RNAcentral is "partial 16S ribosomal RNA". It matches the Rfam family "Bacterial small subunit ribosomal RNA", at positions 29 to 507 of the family's 1533-position model. The record is from RNAcentral.